CAGUAGCCGCGGGAAUACGAAGGGGGCUAGCGUUGUUCGGAAUUACUGGGCGUAAAGGGCGCGUAGGCGGCCAUUCAAGUUAGAUGUGAAAGCCCUGGGCUCAACCUAGGAAUUGCAUUUGAUACUGUUUGGCUUGAGUUCGGGAGAGGUGAGUGGAAUUCCCAGUGUAGAGGUGAAAUUCGUAGAUAUUGGGAAGAACACCAGUGGCGAAGGCGGCUCACUGGACCGACACUGACGCUGAGGCGCGAAAGCGUGGGGAGCAAACAGGAUUAGAUACCCGUGUAGUCCCUGUCUCUUAUAC
RNAcentral lists this ribosomal RNA (301 nucleotides) under uncultured bacterium. RNAcentral describes it as "partial 16S ribosomal RNA". It matches the Rfam family "Bacterial small subunit ribosomal RNA", at positions 509 to 807 of the family's 1533-position model. The record is from RNAcentral.